GGCUGCAACUCGCCCACAUGAAGCUGGAUUCGGUAGUAAUCGCGUGUCACAAGCGCGCGGUGAAUACGUCCCUGCUCCUUGCACACACCGCCCGUCAAAGCACCCGAGUGAGGUCCGGAUGAGGCGUACCUCGUACGUCGAAUCUGGGCUUCGCAAGGGGGCUUAAGUCGUAACAAGGUAGCCGUAGGGGAAUCUGCGGCUGGAUCACCUCCA
This 213-nucleotide ribosomal RNA is filed under the name Halorubrum ezzemoulense. Its description in RNAcentral is "partial 16S ribosomal RNA". It matches the Rfam family "Archaeal small subunit ribosomal RNA", at positions 1259 to 1478 of the family's 1478-position model. Lineage: Archaea; Methanobacteriati; Methanobacteriota; Halobacteria; Halobacteriales; Haloferacaceae. The record is from RNAcentral.